CCACAGACCAGCCGCCCAGACAGGCCUCAGACAAGUCAGGAUGAGGCUGGGAUUGCAGGUUCUGCUUCUGGAAGCCGACCUCCUGUAAGGCGCCCAUCACAGGGCUUGGGCCACUUACCCAGGAGGCCAAGUAAGACACGGCGUCUUGGCUCGGAAUCUGCGGCUCCAUCAUCCCCACCCAGGCGACGACUUUCGGCAGUGUCACCCCAGCCACCACUGGCACUAUUGGCGAGUUCGCAGAGUGAUGAGCCCCGAUCCCCUCAGUUAUCUGAGCCCAGCUUGAUGGCCGACGUGGACCAGCAGGGACAAGACCAACAGGCAACCAUCACACUGCAACUUACACCUGUUGACCCAAGCCAGCCAAUACAGCUGCAGGAUAUCCCCCAAGCCUCCAUCAGUCCACAACUGGCACAAGCUCCGCCCCCAAGCCAAAUACCAGAUGAUUUUUGGGCCAGUUGGACAAGCCAACAGGCCCAAAGCAAUGCCAGCCUGACCGCACAUACACAACACCUUGCCAGUCUGCCCCAUCAUCUACCGCGUAUUAGUCGCAACUCGGGCAGACUGAUUGUACAAGUAGGGCGAAUGGCAACCUCAAUGGAGCAAAUAAGGGCUGACAACAGCCAAAUGCUUGCUCAUUUAUCGCGCAUCAUAGAUGAGCAACAGCGCCAUCAGCAGGCACUCGUUUAGCUCAUUCAGCACAACCAAGUGGUGAAUGAGUCGUUAUCCAGGAUUGUAGCCAGCCACACUGCAACCAACACUCAGCUGAUUGCAAGCCUUAAUAAUUUGAGCAGCAAUAUUUCAUUGAUGGGAGCUCACCAAGUAACCUCCAGCUCGGGGACCACGACCCCUAUCCAAACGCCAGUAACCUCCCCUGUUCGGCGUUCCUCCAGAGCACGUGCCAGUGAGCCAGCACAAAGCUCAGCACCCAGCACACACAAGCGGAAAAAAUAACCCCAAUGUGAUUGGCAAAAUAAAAAUUUGUAUUUGACAAACACACAA
Pseudophryne corroboree (corroboree frog) is the source of this 999-nucleotide long non-coding RNA. RefSeq lists it as uncharacterized. The record is from RefSeq and is a predicted model, not a curated record. NCBI's taxonomy places the organism in Eukaryota, Metazoa, Chordata, Amphibia, Anura, Myobatrachidae. The transcript is spliced from 3 exons.